CCCUUAGAUGGUCUGGGCGGCACGCGCGCUGCAAUGAUGCAUUCAAAAAGUCUUCUGACCUUAGAAGGUUGGGUAUUCUCCAAAGUGCAUCGUGAUGGGAAUAGUUUAUUGCAAUUUUUAAUCUUGAACGAGGAAUUCCUAGUAAGUACAGGUCAUCAACUUGUGUUGAUUACGUCCCUGCCCUUUGUACACACCGCCCGUCGCUCCUACCGAUUGAGUGGUCCGGUGAGGCUUUGGGAUCUGAGCGGAAAGAGCGUUUCGCUGUUUCUGCUCGGAAAACUCAGUCGAACCUUAUCAUUUAGAGGAAGGAGAAGUCGUAACA
This 322-nucleotide ribosomal RNA is filed under the name uncultured eukaryote. RNAcentral's name for it is "partial 18S ribosomal RNA". It matches the Rfam family "Eukaryotic small subunit ribosomal RNA", at positions 1470 to 1796 of the family's 1831-position model. The record is from RNAcentral.